Equus caballus (horse) is the source of this 77-nucleotide small nucleolar RNA. The record is from Ensembl. NCBI's taxonomy places the organism in Eukaryota, Metazoa, Chordata, Mammalia, Perissodactyla, Equidae.
GUGAUCAAUGAUGAUGAUUUGGUGGUGCAUGAGUCACAUACAAUGAAUACUAUGUGUCUGGAACUCUUGAGGUCCAA